GACGAACGCUGGCGGCGUGCCUAAUACAUGCAAGUACAACGCAGUUCCGAACGGAUGAGUAACGCGUAGGUAACUGCCUCAUAACGAGGGAUAUCUAUUGGAAACGAUAGCUAAUACCGCAUACUGUGAGAUGGAACUGCGUUGUAUUAGCUCGUUGGUGAGGAAAAGGAUCACCAAGGCGAGUAUACAUAGCCGACCUGAGAGGUUGAUCGGCAACACUUGUACUGAGACACGGCCCAGACUCCUACGGGAGGCAGCAGUAGGGAACGUUCGGCAAUGGACGGAAGUGUGACCGAGCAACGCCGCGUGAGUGAAGAAGGUUUGCGGAUCGUAAGGCUCUGUUGUUAGAGAAGCGGGAACUAACCAGAAAGGGACGGCUAACUACGCGCCAGCAGCGGCGGUAAUUC
RNAcentral lists this ribosomal RNA (407 nucleotides) under uncultured bacterium. Its description in RNAcentral is "partial 16S ribosomal RNA". It matches the Rfam family "Bacterial small subunit ribosomal RNA", at positions 28 to 526 of the family's 1533-position model. The record is from RNAcentral.